AUUGAACGCUGGCGGCAGGCUUAACACAUGCAAGUCGAGCGGAGAGAGGUAGCUUGCUACUGAUCUUAGCGGCGGACGGGUGAGUAAUGCUUAGGAAUCUGCCUAUUAGUGGGGGACAACAUUUCGAAAGGAAUGCUAAUACCGCACACGUCCUACGGGAGAAAGCAGGGGAUCUUCGGGCCUUGCGCUAAUAGAUGAGCCUAAGUCGGAUUAGCUAGUUGGUGGGGUAAAGGCCUACCAAGGCGACGAUCUGUAGCGGGUCUGAGAGGAUGAUCCGCCACACUGGGACUGAGACACGGCCCAGACUCCUACGGGAGGCAGCAGUGGGGAAUAUUGGACAAUGGGCGCAAGCCUGAUCCAGCCAUGCCGCGUGUGUGAAGAAGGCCUUAUGGUUGUAAAGCACUUUAAGCGAGGAGGAGGCUACUUUAGUUAAUACCUAGAGAUAGUGGACGUUACUCGCAGAAUAAGCACCGGCUAACUCUGUGCCAGCCGCCGCCGUAA
RNAcentral lists this ribosomal RNA (501 nucleotides) under uncultured bacterium. RNAcentral describes it as "partial 16S ribosomal RNA". It matches the Rfam family "Bacterial small subunit ribosomal RNA", at positions 30 to 523 of the family's 1533-position model. The record is from RNAcentral.